This is a non-coding RNA of Phrynosoma platyrhinos (Desert horned lizard), 72 nucleotides long. The record is from the annotation of a GenBank genome assembly. NCBI's taxonomy places the organism in Eukaryota, Metazoa, Chordata, Lepidosauria, Squamata, Phrynosomatidae.
GCCAGUGUGGUAUAGUGGUUUGAGUGUUGGACUAUGAUUCUGGAGACUGGGGCUCAACUCCCUACUCAGUCA